CCUACGGGAGGCAGCAGUGGGGGAUAUUGCACAAUGGGGGGAACCCUGAUGCAGCGACGCCGCGUGGGUGAAGAAGCGCCUCGGCGCGUAAAGCCCUGUCAGCAGGGAAGAAAAUGACGGUACCUGAUGAAGAAGCCCCGGCUAACUACGUGCCAGCAGCCGCGGUAAUACGUAGGGGGCAAGCGUUAUCCGGAUGUACUGGGUGGAAUGGGGGCGCAGACGGCGAUGCAAGCCAGGAGUGAAAGCCCGGGGCACAACCCCGGGACUGCUUUUGGAACUGCGUGGCUGGAGUGCAGGAGGGGCAGGCGGAAUUCCUGGUGUAGCGGUGAAAUGCGUAGAUAUCAGGAGGAACACCGGUGGCGAAGGCGGCCUGCUGGACUGCAACUGACGUUGAGGCCCGAAAGCGUGGGGAGCAAACAGGAUUAGAUACCCGGGUAGUC
This 440-nucleotide ribosomal RNA is filed under the name uncultured bacterium. Its description in RNAcentral is "partial 16S ribosomal RNA". It matches the Rfam family "Bacterial small subunit ribosomal RNA", at positions 338 to 795 of the family's 1533-position model. The record is from RNAcentral.